RNAcentral lists this long non-coding RNA (461 nucleotides) under Equus asinus (donkey). RNAcentral's name for it is "lncRNA (ENSEASG00005032115.1)". Lineage: Eukaryota; Metazoa; Chordata; Mammalia; Perissodactyla; Equidae. The record is from RNAcentral.
ACCUGGGACUGUUACAGAUUCUCAGAGAUCUGGAGCUCAAAAAGUAGCGGAGACUCCCUCCUGAGCUUGUCAACCUGACAGACCUCAGAAAGCAGGGAACCCUAUAAUCACCACCACUGAACGAGCCCAGGCUAGCCUGCUGGAUGAGUAAGGAAGGACACAUGGCCAAGUCAUCCCCUGCCUUAUAUAGAGUCAACAACCAGACAUAAGAAAGAGAAUGCCUUCUGGGAGGUUGUGAUCACCGGAUGGCUGGCCCUCAGCAGCCAUUGAAGCCUACAAGUCAGAUUGCUUAGGGGUUCAUCGGAAGUGACCCCUUUGUUUCUCCGAAGCUCCUCCUGCCAAGCCCCUUAGGUCUACAAAACCCCCCUGCUUUCUGUUCUUGGGGAGGCAGAUUUGCUCCAACCCAGGCUCCCACCUACUUGUUUUGGCCAGUUCCAAUAAAUCUUCCUCCAUCUCCCAGU